UACGUAGGGUGCAAGCGUUGUUCGGAAUUACUGGGCGUAAAGCGCGUGUAGGCGGUUAUGCAAGUCGGGUGUGAAAGCCCCGGGCUCAACCCGGGAAGUGCAUUCGAUACUGCGUAGCUAGAGUACUGGAGAGGAUGGUGGAACUCUCGGUGUAGAGGUGAAAUUCGUAGAUAUCGAGAAGAACACCGGUGGCGAAGGCGGCCAUCUGGACAGAUACUGACGCUGAGACGCGAAAGCGUGGGGAGCGAACAGG
This 253-nucleotide ribosomal RNA is filed under the name uncultured bacterium. RNAcentral describes it as "partial 16S ribosomal RNA". It matches the Rfam family "Bacterial small subunit ribosomal RNA", at positions 524 to 776 of the family's 1533-position model. The record is from RNAcentral.